CUUGGCGAACUCCGAUAGAUUCGCUUGCGCAAGGGAUUGUGCGUCAGCUUGCAUGGAAGUGAGUGUUUACGGGCAGGAACACAGCAGUGUUGGAGUGAGUGGGUGGCGGCCUCGGCAGCACCUGUGGCACGUACUGUAACUGUACUCUAUGUUUCCGCUACAUGGAAGUGUCGGGGUCAGGACUCGGACUUGGACACAGGACGCAAAUGAACGUGGCUACGUUGACUCGAUGAUUCCUCUCAAGGAGAGGUUCGUCUGCAGAACGUGUAGCUCCGCGCAGUGGAAGGCUGAGAGCUAUGCCUAGUCGGCUCCGCCAGACCUGAACACACCCGACGCCCAAGGAGAGAACUAAGGGAAGGAGAGGAGAGGGGAGGAGAGGAGAGUAGAGGAGAGAAGAGCGCGUUUUACGCAAACAGCG
Molecule: long non-coding RNA, 418 nt
Organism: Clupea harengus (Atlantic herring)
Lineage: Eukaryota; Metazoa; Chordata; Actinopteri; Clupeiformes; Clupeidae
Source: Ensembl